RNAcentral lists this ribosomal RNA (260 nucleotides) under uncultured bacterium. RNAcentral describes it as "partial 16S ribosomal RNA". It matches the Rfam family "Bacterial small subunit ribosomal RNA", at positions 15 to 266 of the family's 1533-position model. The record is from RNAcentral.
GAUCCUGGCUCAGGAUGAACGCUAGCGACAGGCUUAACACAUGCAAGUCGAGGGGCAGCACGGUGUAGCAAUACACUGGUGGCGACCGGCGCACGGGUGAGUAACACGUGUGCAGCCAACCCCGUACCGGGAGAUAACCCGCGGAAACGUGGACUAACAUCCCACUAACAACUCUAGAGCCGCAUGGUUCUGGAUUUAAAAUUUACCGGUGGUACGGGACGGGCACGCGCGACAUUAGGUAGUUGGCGGGGUAACGGCCC